RNAcentral lists this long non-coding RNA (720 nucleotides) under Triticum aestivum (bread wheat). RNAcentral describes it as "long non-coding RNA (TAES_LNC007036)". Lineage: Eukaryota; Viridiplantae; Streptophyta; Magnoliopsida; Poales; Poaceae. The record is from RNAcentral.
CCAAAUCUCUUUAUGAAUUUUUUAUACUGACGAAGGCGGAGUUGAAUGCUGAAUUAAAAACCCUUUGUAAACUAAAGAGCACUGGUAGUGAAUCAAACCUAACAUUGACAUUGUUGUGAAUUAUCGUCUAAAUCUUGCUAAUUCAGAAGGGAAUAACAUUAAGUACAAUGCAGACAUGUACAAAAGCAAAUUUAAUCCAUAUAUCAAACAGCUUUGCAUAGCACAUUGACCAAUCAGAGAGAGUGUGAAAUAAGUACAGGAAGAAGGGAAGAUUCAGAAUCAGAUCAAUUCCCUGAGUAUCAAUCGCACUUGCUGCGAUUUAUUCUGAGUACUUCAUCUCGCUGUGUUGGAUGAUGCAGCUUCACUGAAAUUGACAGAGAGCGGACAGAACUUAGGUGGCCAAAAUAUGUACAGGAGAUCAAAACCUAGGAAAAGAGAAAGGAUGUAGAGGCAAAUCUGAACCACCUCAAGGUCUUUCUCCUGCUGCUCCGGUGGGCGACCCUCCCUCAACCGUUGACCUCGGCCGCAUUCGAUGCUCCACCAAUCCCUGCUGCUUCUUCCAGAGGCAGAGGCGGCGCCUCUCAUGGCGCUAAGGAGGUGAGGACGCGCUGGCGCGACGAGUCAACCAGCCAACCGCCGCGGGGAGGAGGACGGUGUGCGAGCUGUCACCCUUCUCCUUCUCCCUGCUGCUUGUCCUCCUCGCCAGCCCCACCUCCUUCC